GAUGAAUGCUGGCGGCGUGCCUAACACAUGCAAGUCGAGCGGCAGCGAGGGGUGCUUGCACCCUGUCGGCGAGCGGCGAACGGCUGAGUAACGCGUAGGAAUUUGCCCCAAAGUGAGGAAUAACUGCCCGAAAGGGUAGCUAAUGCCGCAUAUGGCCUUCGGAUUAAAGGAUUUAUCCGCUUUGGGAGAAGCCUGCGUUGGAUUAGGUUGUUGGUAGGGUAAUGGCCUACCAAGCCGACGAUCCAUAGCUGGCCUGAGAGGAUGAUCAGCCAGACUGGAACUGAGACACGGUCCAGACUCCUACGGGAGGCAGCAGUGAGGAAUCUUCCACAAUGGGCGAAAGCCUGAUGGAGCAACGCCGCGUGAAGGAUGAAGGCCUUCGGGUUGUAAACUUCUUUUAUGAGUGAAGAAUAUGACGGUAACUCAUGAAUAAGCACCGGCUAACUACGUG
Molecule: ribosomal RNA, 451 nt
Filed under: uncultured bacterium
Lineage: Bacteria
Description: partial 16S ribosomal RNA
Rfam family: Bacterial small subunit ribosomal RNA
Source: RNAcentral